ACAGUAUAUAUGUACACACACACACACACACACGCACACAAAAUAACAAUAGAAUAUAUGAUGGUUUCUAUUUGCAAACUGUAGUGAUAGUAAGUCCUAAUGGGUCAAAGUAAACCUGCAGAGGAUUUAUGUAAUACAGGCAUUCAUCAUGUGUGACAGCAUAUAAAAUGAAUCACCUUGGCACUACUGUACAACAGUAAUUACUUUAAAUAUAAUGUUGCUGUGCCUGUUGAAGGCUAGCGGAAUGCAGCAAAAUAGUGCUAUGCACCAUGUGCUAUGACAGCACUGUGUUGAACACAUCCAUAGUGCUCAUUUAUAUGAGUGGUUUUUAUGCAAAUCAAAAAGCCCAUAGCAUGUAAUGGGGAAACUGAAUGUGACUGUGAAAGCUGAAUUGAUAUGGGCAAAUUAUAUUUCUUAUUUUGCUAAUUAUGGGCAGUGUCAACCUCAGUACAGUGAAUAAACGAACACAGAAUGACAGUUAAGUUCGGACUACCCCCUUAAGAGGUUAAGGGGGGUAGUCCUUACUCUGAGAAUGUGUCAUGUGUGGUUUGAUAUGUACUUCCAGUUGUAGAACCUACAAGCUGUUGCCUAAAAUGUUUGAAAAGAAGCACAUAAAUUACCAAGUGCAAAUUCAUAUGUGGGUGUUUCCUGUAUCCGUCAUAUUAUAACCUUCUUGGAUUAAGAGAACAUACAGUAGGCUAGAUCUAUCUGAAAACAGCUGUAUGACAUGGAGUACCUUGCCCUGUAGCAGUUAUUUAGGGAAUUGUACUUUUCCUAACAAUUUUUCCCCCUGUCUGAAUGAUUCUGAAUCUGAAUGGUUUACAUACCCAAGAAUUACCAAAUAGCCUGUUAUUUGCAGAACAAAUUAACUGUUUCAAAAUAAGUAUUUACAACUAAGGCAAUUCUCCUUAUAAAUUCAUUAAUAUUAUUGAUAAGAUUUGCAUAUUACACAUGGAGGAAGGAAACAUACUGUAACAGCCUUGUUAAUAAAAUGCUGGUAACAUGAUUAAUUUUAACAAAUAUUUAACUGAAAAUUAUUAAAAAUCCUGCUUUGGGGUAACUCCAAAACAGAAGUUCAGUUUUGUUAGCAAAGGAUUCAAUUUCCUCUGCUUGCAUCAGAUGAAAGAGGCUAAACUCAAGAGAAGGAUUAAUUUACUUAUUUAAAAUACUAACUACUAAAAUACUUGAAUCCAGAAGCAAGUCUAGCCAGUUAGAGAAGAACAUAUGAAAUUCUGUGUCUUUUGAAUUUUCACAAUCCUUUUAUUUUCAAAGGAUAAGUGAUAAUUAAUGACUCAGCUGUAUUGAUUUUGCAAAUAGUCAUAUGGGAAGGAGACUUACUGAAUUCUGGGUAAUUAUGCUACCAUGUGUUUUUGAUUAGAUAUAUUUUUAUUCAAAAUUAAAUUAAUAAAUAAAAAGCUAUACAGCUCCACAAUAAUAUUGCACCACUGCUAGAGAAUAAGAAUUGGAAAUCAAGGUUUCAAAUAAAAUAAUAACUAUACUAAAUAUGAACAGAUAAAUGCUGUAUUCAAUGCUUAAUGAGUACCAAGUCCAGACUGAAAGACAGAAACAUUUAAAAAUGAAAUAAAAAUUACAAAUUUCCCAGUAGAUGAUUUUUUUUUUCUGAAUAUCCUAAAAACGUAACUUUAUUACUUAAUAAAUACAUAUGCAUUGAAAUGAGUUGAUAUAUUAAAAAUCAAAGACAAAAAAGUUAUGCAGAGACGUCCAUAAGUGGUGCAGAGAAUGAAAGAGACUGGUGUUUUUGUAAAAAUCUGUUUAACAAAGCCCUGAAUACUACCAGAUUGCCCCUUCUUAAUUCAUGUCAAUUCUUGAAUCAUAAACACUGUUACUAUUUUUUUUCCUGCAGUCAAACAAACAUGCUUUGGAAAACUGUAUAUGCUGUAAAUCAGUACUAUUUAUAAAUCAUGUAAUAUGUAAUGAACAUGUACAUAUGUUUUAUGUUUUUAUUGUGCCAGGUACUCUGUAUGUAUGAAUUAUUUAGAUAAGAUAAAACAACUAUGUUUUUUACGCCACUUUGCCAGCUGAAUGAUGCCGAAGUACUAUGUAAUAAAACAAAGAAACAAGCUUGU
Long non-coding RNA from Cyprinus carpio carpio, 2087 nucleotides. Lineage: Eukaryota; Metazoa; Chordata; Actinopteri; Cypriniformes; Cyprinidae. The record is from Ensembl.